ACAUCCCACUCUCACAACUUGACAGAUCAUCCAGCAGGAAAGUCAACAAAGAAACAAGGGAGCUCAAGUGUAGGUAGUGUGCUACAUGAGGGCCAAGUUUUUCGCUAACACCAUGAGGGUCUCUGGCCGAAUGAGUGGAGUUGGAUAGUAAUUCUUGCUACAAUA
RNAcentral lists this small nucleolar RNA (165 nucleotides) under Erinaceus europaeus (western European hedgehog). Lineage: Eukaryota; Metazoa; Chordata; Mammalia; Eulipotyphla; Erinaceidae. The record is from RNAcentral.